Ipomoea nil (Japanese morning glory) is the source of this 179-nucleotide long non-coding RNA. RefSeq lists it as uncharacterized. The transcript is spliced from 3 exons. The record is from RefSeq and is a predicted model, not a curated record. Lineage: Eukaryota; Viridiplantae; Streptophyta; Magnoliopsida; Solanales; Convolvulaceae.
CAAAUUUGUAGGGACUAUGGUACUACUGCAAUGUUUAAAUAAACUUAUGAAUGAAAUAAUAAUAAUAAAAAAAAUCUAAACAAGAAAGAAAAGGGAAAAUGGAAAAGAAUAGAAAGAGGAGGAAGGUUUGAUUGCUUUUCUUAUUACUAGUAUUCAUCUUGUUUGCAAUGUUGGGUUGU